GCAUAGGUCGUUAAUGGUAGAAUUCUUACCUUCGAUGCAGGAGACCUGGGUUCAAUUCCCUGCCAGUGCA
Molecule: transfer RNA, 70 nt
Organism: Loxodonta africana (African savanna elephant)
Lineage: Eukaryota; Metazoa; Chordata; Mammalia; Proboscidea; Elephantidae
Rfam family: tRNA
About the family: Transfer RNA (tRNA) molecules are approximately 80 nucleotides in length. Their secondary structure includes four short double-helical elements and three loops (D, anti-codon, and T loops).
Source: Rfam